GGAAAGGUGGCAGAGUGGUCGAUCGCGCUCGACUUGAAAUCGAGUGACUGGCAACAGUCCGUGGGUUCAAAUCCCACCCUUUCCG
Molecule: transfer RNA, 85 nt
Filed under: Cyanobacterium stanieri PCC 7202
Lineage: Bacteria; Bacillati; Cyanobacteriota; Cyanophyceae; Chroococcales; Geminocystaceae
Also listed under: 5 other names
Description: tRNA-Ser (TGA) (tRNA-Ser-TGA-1-1)
Rfam family: tRNA
About the family: Transfer RNA (tRNA) molecules are approximately 80 nucleotides in length. Their secondary structure includes four short double-helical elements and three loops (D, anti-codon, and T loops).
Source: Rfam by way of RNAcentral